UCUGAACAACACUUUCAUGCAUGCUUCCAGCAAAUCAUUCAUAAUAAGACUUCUCGCAAUUUUUGUUGUUGGCCUUGUUCAUUUUAUUGUAGCGGAUUCGACAAUGUAAAUCCCCAAAUCUGGAAAUUAUGUGUUCAUUUGUAAAAGCGAUAAUGACAACUUUUCUGUGUACGAUCCAUUUUCAAUGGAUGUGUCGGAUCCUUUUCAAUUUUUUCAUUCCUAAAUAUUCGAAGAUACAACAAAACAUUCGACGACUCUUGCAAGAAAUACAACGGCCUUAGCAAAUACACAGAUCGAUUGGAAGAAAACCCCUGAUGCUCAUGUUUUCAAAACCGAUAUUCCUGGCAUUUAUUAAAGUUUUAUUUUUCAAUAACAAUUUUGUAGAAAUUUUUUGUUUGUUUCAAAAGAUAUUAAAAUGUAAUAUUAUUGCUUUGUUGCAUGGCCAUAUUCAUAAAAUAAGUGGAGGAUGUAGCAAAGAAGUGGAGCAGAAAAAUGAGAGAUAUCGCCGUAUUGAAUGCUCGCAACAUAGGUUCUUGAGGGAGGAGUGCCUUGCUGAAGGUUAUUUUAAAUGCAAUGCACUUCAAAUUUUUGUAAAAAAUAUUAGAGUUUUAACUUGUAUUAGUUUCUGUUUUUUCAAAAAAAAAUGGAACAGAUAUUAAGGGUUUUAAUCUUCAACAGAAUUCACUUAUAUUCAACCAGUCUUUGUCUUUCAAAAUUUUAGAAGAAAGAUUAGGGCUUUCACUUAUUUUUCAUCUAGGUUUUGUCCUUCAAAAUUUUGAAAGAAAGUUUAGGUAUUUAACUUGUGAUACGAGUUUUUGUCUCGCAAAUUUCUAAAGAAAGAUAGGAAAUCACAUCUGGGUGUUGUACUGUAGGUCUAGGAAAUGUUUAAUAUUGUGUGCCUCUAAAUUUUCAUUUCUAUUUUUCUAUAUGUUCUUUUACAUAGAUCAAUAUGUCUGUAACAUACAAGGAUAUAUAAUAAAAUGAACAUUGUUUGUUUUUAUUUUUUCUGUUAAAUCCAUUGUGAUAAGCUUCAGUAUUUUUUGUUUUAGCAUGAUAAAAAUAGACAAGUGACAAAGAAUAAAGGUUACCCGGAGCCUCCAGUGCGCUCACUGCUUCUUCUCCACGCUUCUCCAACCUUCUCAGCUAUUAGGAUGCAAAUAUUAAAGGUCUUUUCUUGUAUAUUGUAUAUUGACAAUGCCUGAUGUUGGAAUUAUCCUGGCACUUCCAGAAGUUUUUGCUUGCGAUUUUAGUUUUAUUUUAUCCUGGUGCUUCUUCGAGAAGUUUCUGCAGUUCCAGUUUUAUUUAUUUUUAAAUAAUUUGUAUUUACUGUAUUUAAUAAGUGGCGGAAGAUGUGUUGUUCGACAACAAUUUAUUGAGCCGAUAGGCUCUUAGUAUGGGCUUUCUUGCUCGGAAAAUUGUCAGUAUCUCGGUAAAUUUCUACCAGUCACGUUUACCGGUUGCUGGGUAAUGAAAAUCUUGUUGCUUGAUCUACACGAUAAAUUAAGUGGGAUCAUGAAUUCUUUUUGAUUAUUACAUUUAAUAUAUUUAUUUUUAGUUGUGUUGGCAAGAAAACAGCGUGGGAAUGGCAUACGGUGGAGGCAAACGAUAGUUAAUGUGCUUUAAUAGCAUUAACCUUCAUGUUUGAUACUUUCUGCAUUUGACAUAAUAGCAAAGUUAAUGUGUCUACGCCCACAUUUGGGAAUUGUUUUCUGCAAGUGAAUUGUUUGCUUUCCUUGUUUCUGAUAAGAGAAAGCUUAAUAUGGAAGAGUCACAUUGUCGUUUUCAUUUUGAUUUUCGUUUCUGGUUUCUGAUAACAUAGAUUUAUAUAUAUGUAUUUCAUGCUUUAUUCUACUCUUCCUUUAUUCUUUUUUUAACUUCACACUAUAUAAUCCAUGGCAUUGACAUUUGUUAACAGUUAAUUACUUGCUUGCUUUCAUUUGUUUACUUGAUGUAUCAAAGACAUUUUGGAUAUAAUAUUUCAGUUGUGGGUUUAAUGCUUCAUGUUUUCUUUACAACCAAACUGCAUGGACUUCCAACAAGUCAAGAUUUUGCAGAAGGAGCAAUUCAAAUCAUCCGAACAGCUGACACAUGAACCUUUUGAAAGAGAUCAUGCUUCUGUUAUAGGUGGUCAUAAGGUACCGUAAAUGCAAAAUACAACUGCCACUCCUUCAAAUUAUUUUAUUAAUGUCUGCAUUAUAUCCCAGUUUUUCUUAUUAUUUAAUUUCAUGUUCAAUUUUUACUGUGAUAUUCAUAAGCUGUCUACAAUCGUUCCAUUUAAAAAUUAUGAACAAUUUCAAGUUCAAUAUUAUGUGAAAAUACAUUCCUCCAUUUGCUUAUCUUUAAAAUAGAUCGUAUUUUAGUUCUUAACGUUUUGCCUCCACAUGCAAGCAUGAUCCAACUUUCAAUCUUGUAAUAGUGAUCUAGAUGAUAAAUCGCAAGCCCCUAACUGAAUUUUGCCAGAAAGUAUCUGUACAGUAAUUGACUCUCGCCAUUUUUACCAGUUCAAUAAAACUUGCAACAUGACAACAUGCACACCUAAACACACUCCUCGUCUAACGGACUGCAACCAGCUCAACAAUUAGGUAUUUAUCACAUAUCCUAGACUUCAAUGCUUAUUGUUGUGCAUUCAGUCACUCUACCCGAAAUUCAAAUGUUGCCAUGCUUCACAUGCUACAUUUUAGUCAUCAAACCUUGCAAAGAAACUAUUUCACACAGUUUCCAAUUGUAAAUGUGCUUUUUCA
Molecule: long non-coding RNA, 2741 nt
Organism: Cryptomeria japonica (Japanese cedar)
Lineage: Eukaryota; Viridiplantae; Streptophyta; Pinopsida; Cupressales; Cupressaceae
Exons: 4
Source: RefSeq, a predicted model, not a curated record